RNAcentral lists this ribosomal RNA (231 nucleotides) under uncultured bacterium. Its description in RNAcentral is "partial 16S ribosomal RNA". It matches the Rfam family "Bacterial small subunit ribosomal RNA", at positions 118 to 347 of the family's 1533-position model. The record is from RNAcentral.
UGAGUAACCUGCCCUUCACUCUGGGAUAACUCCGGGAAACCGGGGCUAAUACUGGAUAUGAUUCGAACAGGCAUCUGUUUCGGGUGGAAAGAUUUAUUGGUGGAGGAUGGACUCGCGGCCUAUCAGCUUGUUGGUGAGGUAAUGGCUCACCAAGGCGACGACGGGUAGCCGGCCUGAGAGGGCGAUCGGCCACACUGGGACUGAGACACGGCCCAGACUCCUACGGGAGCA